This 253-nucleotide ribosomal RNA is filed under the name uncultured bacterium. RNAcentral's name for it is "partial 16S ribosomal RNA". It matches the Rfam family "Bacterial small subunit ribosomal RNA", at positions 524 to 776 of the family's 1533-position model. The record is from RNAcentral.
AACGUGGGUGGCGAGCGUUAUCCGGAUUUACUGGGCGUAAAGCGCGUGUAGGCGGUUCGAUUAGUCGGGCAUGAAAGCUCUUGGCUCAACUGGGAGAUGCUGUUCGAUACUGUCGGGCUUGAGGAUGAGAGAGGGAAGUGGAAUUCCGGGUGUAGUGGUGAAAUGCGUAGAUAUCCGGAGGAACACCAGUGGCGAAGGCGACUUCCUGGCUCAUUUCUGACGCUGAGACGCGAAAGCGUGGGGAGCGAACGGG